This 465-nucleotide ribosomal RNA is filed under the name uncultured bacterium. RNAcentral's name for it is "partial 16S ribosomal RNA". It matches the Rfam family "Bacterial small subunit ribosomal RNA", at positions 28 to 507 of the family's 1533-position model. The record is from RNAcentral.
GACGAACGCUGGCGGCGUGCUUAACACAUGCAAGUCGUACGGUAAGGCCCUUUCGGGGGUCCACGAGUGGCGAACGGGUGAGUAACACGUGAGUAACCUGCCCACAACUUUGGGAUAACGCUAGGAAACUGGUGCUAAUACUGGAUAUGUGCCCCUGCUGCAUGGUGGGGGUUGGAAAGCUCCGGCGGUUGUGGAUGGACUCGCGGCCUAUCAGCUUGUUGGUGGGGUAGUGGCCUACCAAGGCGGCGACGGGUAGCCGGCCCGAGAGGGUGACCGGCCACAUUGGGACUGAGAUACGGCCCAGACUCCUACGGGAGGCAGCAGGGGGGAAUAUUGCACAAUGGGCGCAAGCCUGAUGCAGCAACGCCGCGUGCGGGAUGACGGCCUUCGGGUUGUAAACCGCUUUCAGCAGGGACGAAGCUUUUUGUGACGGUACCUGCAGAAGAAGCACCGGCUAACUACGUG